RNA transcript from Gorilla gorilla gorilla (western lowland gorilla), 5187 nucleotides. It is a transcript of the gene named BOS complex subunit NOMO1, with no coding region annotated. The record is from RefSeq and is a predicted model, not a curated record. The transcript has 32 exons. Lineage: Eukaryota; Metazoa; Chordata; Mammalia; Primates; Hominidae.
GUCAGCCGGCCUAGGAGGAGGAAGGAGCCUGCAGCGUGCAGCGUGAGGGGCGGGACCCGGCUGCCGGCGGUGGGUCUAGCUGGGGGAGGUCGGGCCAUGCUGGUGGGCCAGGGCGCGGGGCCGCUGGGGCCCGCGGUGGUCACCGCCGCGGUGGUGCUGCUGCUGAGCGGCGUGGGGCCGGCGCACGGCUCGGAGGACAUCGUGGUGGGCUGCGGUGGCUUCGUCAAGUCGGACGUGGAGAUCAACUACUCGCUCAUCGAGAUAAAGCUGUACACCAAGCAUGGGACUUUGAAAUACCAGACAGACUGUGCCCCUAAUAAUGGUUACUUUAUGAUCCCUUUGUAUGAUAAGGGGGAUUUCAUUCUGAAGAUUGAGCCUCCCCUAGGGUGGAGUUUUGAGCCGACGACUGUGGAGCUCCAUGUGGAUGGAGUCAGUGACAUCUGCACAAAGGGUGGGGACAUCAACUUUGUCUUCACUGGGUUCUCUGUGAAUGGCAAGGUCCUCAGCAAAGGGCAGCCCCUGGGUCCUGCGGGAGUUCAGGUGUCUCUGAGAAACACUGGGACCGAAGCAAAGAUCCAGUCCACAGUUACACAGCCUGGCGGAAAGUUUGCAUUUUUUAAAGUUCUGCCUGGAGAUUAUGAAAUCCUCGCAACUCAUCCAACCUGGGCGUUGAAAGAGGCAAGCACCACAGUGCGUGUAACCAACUCCAAUGCCAAUGUGGCCAGUCCCCUCAUAGUUGCCGGCUACAAUGUGUCUGGCUCUGUCCGAAGUGAUGGGGAGCCCAUGAAAGGGGUGAAGUUUCUUCUCUUUUCUUCUUUAGUAACUAAAGAGGAUGUCCUGGGCUGCAAUGUCUCACCAGUGCCUGGGUUCCAACCCCAAGACGAGAGUCUGGUGUAUUUGUGCUACACGGUCUCCAGAGAAGAUGGCUCGUUCUCUUUCUAUUCCUUGCCAAGUGGGGGCUACACUGUGAUUCCGUUCUAUCGAGGGGAGAGGAUUACCUUUGAUGUGGCGCCUUCCAGACUUGACUUCACAGUGGAGCAUGACAGCCUGAAAAUCGAGCCCGUGUUCCACGUCAUGGGAUUCUCCGUCACCGGGAGGGUCUUGAACGGACCCGAAGGAGAUGGUGUUCCAGAAGCAGUAGUCACCCUGAAUAACCAAAUCAAAGUUAAAACAAAAGCUGAUGGCUCAUUCCGCCUUGAGAACAUAACCACAGGGACAUACACCAUCCAUGCUCAGAAAGAGCACCUCUACUUUGAAACGGUCACCAUCAAAAUUGCACCGAACACACCUCAGCUGGCUGACAUUAUUGCAACAGGGUUCAGUGUCUGUGGUCAGAUAUCAAUCAUUCGCUUCCCCGACACCGUCAAGCAGAUGAAUAAAUACAAAGUUGUCCUGUCAUCUCAAGACAAGGACAAGUCUUUGGUCACCGUGGAGACAGAUGCUCAUGGAUCAUUUUGUUUUAAAGCAAAACCAGGGACUUACAAAGUGCGGGUGAUGGUUCCUGAGGCAGAAACCAGAGCAGGGCUGACGUUGAAACCCCAGACAUUUCCUCUUACUGUGACCGACAGGCCCGUGAUGGAUGUGGCCUUUGUACAGUUCUUGGCAUCAGUUUCUGGGAAAGUCUCCUGUUUGGACACCUGCGGUGAUUUGCUGGUGACUCUACAGUCCCUGAGCCGCCAGGGUGAGAAGCGGAGCCUCCAGCUCUCCGGCAAGGUCAACGCCAUGACUUUCACCUUUGACAACGUGCUCCCUGGAAAAUACAAAAUAAGCAUCAUGCAUGAGGAUUGGUGCUGGAAGAACAAGAGCCUGGAGGUGGAAGUGCUGGAGGAUGACGUGUCUGCAGUUGAGUUCAGGCAGACGGGCUACAUGCUGAGAUGUUCCCUGUCUCACGCCAUCACUCUGGAAUUUUAUCAGGAUGGAAAUGGGCGUGAGAAUGUGGGGAUUUAUAACCUCUCCAAAGGAGUCAACCGAUUCUGCCUGUCCAAGCCUGGUGUGUACAAAGUGACCCCUCGCUCCUGCCACCGGUUUGAGCAAGCGUUCUACACCUAUGACACGUCUUCACCUAGUAUCUUGACAUUGACAGCCAUUCGCCACCAUGUCCUUGGAACUGUCACCACCGACAAAAUGAUGGAUGUCACUGUGACUAUCAAGUCUUCCAUCGACAGUGAACCCGCCUUGGUCUUAGGCCCUCUGAAGUCUGUGCAGGAGCUGCGGAGGGAGCAGCAGCUGGCUGAGAUCGAGGCCCGCAGGCAGGAGAGGGAGAAAAACGGCAAAGAGGAAGGCGAAGAAAGAAUGACCAAGCCUCCCGUGCAGGAGAUGGUAGAUGAGUUACAAGGCCCCUUCUCGUAUGAUUUCUCUUACUGGGCACGGUCUGGAGAGAAAAUCACUGUUACACCAUCAUCUAAAGAGCUGCUCUUUUAUCCCCCUUCAAUGGAAGCCGUUGUCAGUGGAGAAAGCUGCCCAGGGAAGCUGAUCGAGAUCCACGGGAAGGCAGGCCUGUUUUUAGAAGGCCAGAUCCACCCCGAGUUAGAAGGAGUCGAGAUUGUCAUCAGUGAAAAGGGGGCAAGUUCACCACUGAUCACAGUCUUUACUGAUGACAAAGGUGCCUACAGUGUUGGCCCCCUGCACAGUGACCUGGAGUACACGGUGACCUCACAGAAGGAGGGCUAUGUUCUGACUGCGGUGGAAGGAACCAUCGGAGACUUCAAGGCCUAUGCCCUGGCAGGCGUAAGCUUUGAGAUAAAAGCUGAGGAUGACCAGCCCCUCCCAGGAGUCCUCUUAUCCCUGAGCGGUGGCCUGUUUCGUUCCAACCUCUUGACCCAGGACAACGGCAUUCUGACAUUCUCAAACCUGAGCCCUGGCCAGUAUUACUUCAAACCCAUGAUGAAGGAGUUCCGGUUUGAGCCAUCCUCACAGAUGAUCGAGGUGCAGGAAGGCCAGAACCUGAAGAUCACCAUCACGGGGUACCGAACCGCUUACAGUUGCUAUGGCACAGUGUCUUCCUUAAACGGAGAGCCCGAACAAGGGGUUGCCGUGGAAGCGGUGGGCCAGAAUGACUGCAGCAUUUACGGAGAAGACACCGUGACAGAUGAAGAGGGCAAGUUCAGAUUACGUGGAUUGCUGCCGGGAUGUGUGUACCACGUUCAGCUCAAGGCAGAAGGCAAUGACCACAUUGAGCGGGCGCUCCCCCACCAUAGGGUGAUUGAGGUUGGGAAUAAUGACAUCGAUGAUGUAAACAUCAUAGUUUUCCGGCAGAUUAAUCAAUUUGAUUUAAGUGGAAAUGUGAUCACUUCCUCUGAAUACCUUCCUACAUUAUGGGUCAAGCUUUACAAAAGUGAGAACCUCGACAAUCCAAUCCAGACAGUUUCCCUUGGCCAGUCCCUGUUCUUCCAUUUCCCCCCGCUGCUCAGAGACGGCGAGAACUAUGUUGUGCUUCUGGACUCCACACUCCCCAGAUCCCAGUAUGACUACAUCUUGCCUCAAGUUUCUUUCACCGCAGUGGGCUACCAUAAACACAUCACCUUGAUUUUUAAUCCCACGAGGAAGCUGCCUGAACAGGACAUCGCACAAGGGUCCUACAUUGCCCUGCCAUUGACGCUGCUGGUUCUGCUGGCCGGUUACAACCAUGACAAGCUCAUUCCUUUGCUGCUGCAGUUGACAAGCCGGCUACAGGGAGUCCGCGCGCUCGGCCAGGCAGCCUCUGACAAUAGCGGCCCAGAAGAUGCAAAGAGACAAGCCAAGAAACAGAAGACAAGGCGGACGUGAGGAGGAAGGGGACAGUUACAGUCUCACUUGGGACAGGCCACAGCCAGGGGUCUGGCCACCACCUGCCCGUGGGAUAAAAGCCAAAAGCAUGCGUCAGCUAACUUCAGCCUGUGCUGCUGGGCCCGCACCCCAUGUCCCUUGUCACUGUGGCAUCCUGCACCCAUCCUCACCCCUCCGUAGAGCCCGUCGUGCAAUGCAAUGAAUGGACCCUCCUGUCACUCUGCUGAACAGAAUUUAUUUUCUGAGUCAAAUAUAAUUUAUUAUUAUUUUUGUCAAAGAAGUAUUUAAGCUGUGCUGUGGCGUGAGAAUGUCAUUCUUGAUCUUCAGCCUUCGUUUGCAAGAAGAGUUCCAGUUGACGUGGUGUUUGGUUCCAUGGCGGGGUACCCUAGGGAUUCAUCUGUUUUCUUCACUUCCCUUUGCAUCUGAGAUCCUGCUGGAAACCACAGCAACCUGUAUCCACUAUUAGGAGAUGGGGUCUUGUUCUGUUCCCCAGGCUGGAGUACAAUGGCACCAUCACAGCUCACUGCAGCCUUGAUCUCCCAGGGUCAAGCGAUCAUCGUGCCUCAGCCUGCUGAGUAGCUGGGACUACAGGAGUGCACCACCACACCUGGCUAAUUUUUUUUUUUUAAUCUUUGUAGAGAUGAGCUCUCACUAGGUUGUCCAGACUGGUCUUGAACUCCUGAGCUCAAGCAAUCCUCCCACCUUGGGCUCCCUAAGUGUUGGGAUUACAGGCAAGAGUCACCACACCCAGCCAGGAUCACAGACGUUUAAAUUACACUCCUUCUGCUGCGCCUUACAGCAGUAGAAGGGGUGAAAUUUAAACGUCUGUGAUCCUGGGGUUGUUUAAGAUGCCGCCCAUCUACAUAUUCUUUCAGAUGCACAAUAUUUCACUGUGUGAAUGAAACAGCAGCCCUUCUUACUUGUGCUUUUUGGAAUUUGAAGAUUUUGUAAGAUAAGAUGAAUGCAUUGGAACAAGUGAUCCUCAAUUCUGUGCAGUCUGUGCCUCCGGAGACUGGCAGCUGCCCCUCCCUGUCUAGUCUUGCAAGAGAGGCAGCUGGCAAGAGGACAGAAGCCAGCAGCUGCUGCAUUUUCAUCCUGUUUCUGCUCUUGGAGCUGAGGGGGAGAGGUGGCUAGCAGCCACCCAGUGAUCAAACUUGCAGCCUGCCUCUCUUGCUUCCUUUUCACGGACUGGAGUGUGCCUGGGUAUGGAGAAAGAACAUUUUGCUUCUUGCCUCUCAGAGUUUCAAGAACGCCUCACCUGAGUGGCAUGCAUUCACGGAAUGAGUAAUUAUUACAGUGGAGAACUCCUCACUGUGAAUUAAUUACACAGAUGAUAUUCAAGACUUAGACUGGGCUAGUGCAGGGGUUAGCAAACUACGGCCCACUGUUUUUGUUUUAUAAAUAAAGUGUUAUGAGCACACA